Triangularia setosa is the source of this 158-nucleotide non-coding RNA. NCBI's taxonomy places the organism in Eukaryota, Fungi, Ascomycota, Sordariomycetes, Sordariales, Podosporaceae. The record is from the annotation of a GenBank genome assembly.
GGGCGUAUGGUCUAAUGGACAAAGACGUCUCAGGUGCACAAAUGUUCAUACUAAAUCCUACAAUCAAACUAGUACUGGUUACCAGUCUCGAAUGGUGGGAAGUUUAAGUAUUUGUGCUACACGAGUGAGAUUCCCAAGUUCGAAUCCUGGUGCGCCCA